Molecule: long non-coding RNA, 5351 nt
Filed under: Homo sapiens (human)
Lineage: Eukaryota; Metazoa; Chordata; Mammalia; Primates; Hominidae
Description: HSALNT0240588
Source: RNAcentral
GGCCUUUAUCUCAUUGGAGUUAGUCUCAAUGGUUAGCACUUGUUUUGCCUUGUAGAGUACAGACUGACUCCUGAGGAAUUCCAGACCUGUAGCCUAGAUUCCCCGUAGUUUACUGCUGCCUCCUGUCCACCUGCAUAUCCAGAUAUUAUCUCCCUGAUUACAGCCUCCCCGAAGCUGAGGUUCUUCCAUUGUGAAGAGUCCUGAGCCAGAACUAGCAGUGCCCACUGGGGAUUAGGGGACAGAUGCCGAGGGGUCACACCUGAAGCCCAUGGCAAACCUCCAUAAGGAAUACCUGGGAUCAAUUCUGGCAAAUGGAAGGACUGUUUUGACUUUUUAUUAAAAAAAAAAAAAAAAGCCACUUUCCCAGGGACACAAAUGAUGAACCCGUGGUGAAAUCCAAUUACAACUUCCUUUUAUAUUAUUACAUAAGGGACAAAUGUGAAGGGACAUAUUUCUCCCCAACCUAAACUCGUCACAAAGAGCAAGCAAGUGGGAUUUCUAAAUAAAGGGGGUUUAAGCAAGAGAUUUGCAGAAAUCACACAUUUGCUAUAGAUGUGGAAAGAAUGUAGCAACCUAAGGCAGUCUCAGCUUGAGAGAAGCCAUGAUCCAUUUGUUUAAUUUCUUGAGAGAAUGAAAAUCUGGUCAGUGGAAAUGCCAGUGAUUUUAGCCCCAUAUGGAGGUUUUUACCAAGGAUUCCUUAAAUCUAUAUUAUAAGCAUUUUGACUGAGCUGGUCUUGUUUGAAUUAUCAGUUAUUAUGUACUUACUACUUUUUGGACACUGGGCCAGCUGAAUUACAGACAUUAUUUUUUAACCUUCACGGCAAGCUCUUAAAGUGGUACUGGUUUUAUUUGUUUGUUUGUUUGAAACAAGGUCUUGCUUGGUUGCCCUCACUCCGGCUGGAGUGCAGUGGUGUGAUCAUAGCUCUCUGAAACCUUGAACUCCUGAGCUUAAGCAAUCCUCCUGCCUCAGCCUCCCAAGUAGCUAGGACUACAGGUGGGCACCACAACACUGGCUAUUUUUUUUUUUUUAAUUUUUUUGUAGAGAUGGAGUCUUGUUAUAUCGCGUAAGCUGGUCUUGAACUUUAGGCCUCAAGUGAUCCUUCUGCCUUGGCCUCCCAAAGCACUGGGAUUACGGGCAUGAGCCACCUCAAGGCGCCCAGCUUCAGGUGGUACUUUUAUCCUAUUUUACAGAUGAGCAAUCUGAGAGUCCAGAUGUUAAGUGAUUUAUUUACGCCCAUGCAGCUGGGAGGAGGCAGAGAUAGGAUUCGGGCCUGCAGUGCCUUCUAUAGAUACCACAACCUUGCUGCUGGCGGUGACAAUAAAAAGGGCAGAGGAUACUCUGACAUCCCCUAGCUAUGACACCUGACACUAGGCUUCUGCCCUGCACAUCUAACAGGAGGUGCUCUUUUUUUUUUCUUUUCUUUUAAGCUUUCUCCUUGAAUUUCUCAGUGUAUGGGCUGAGACCUAGAGAAUGACUUUUCAUGGCUUAUAAGCAACAACAUGACACAUGAAAUUCUGUAAACACACAGGCAAAUGCGGUUUUCAUUUUAGCUUUGACCUGUAACUACAUCUCCAGAGAUCUUAUAAAGCACAAGUUAAACUUGCACUCCCCACACAAGAACUUGAUGUUAUGGUUGUUAACUAUUAUUCACUCCCAAGUGUCCCCCAAGACAGAGAGAUUCCAUUUUACUGCCAUAGAAAUGAAAACAGAAGCAAAUAAAAUGUCAAAAGAAAUGUGCCAAGUUCAAAAUUGUACCUCAGUGAUUUGAUCACAUAAUACGGGAAUAUGAUUAAGUUGAAUUUUUGAACUUGGAAUUGAUUUUGUGCUGAAAGGUACACUUUCCAACUCUAAUGCCUAUGGUAAAAUUUAAAUAAUAUUGCUCAAUCUCUAAAAAUUAUGUUUAUAUAUUAUUUGUUUAUGUUUCUAUACAUAUAACAUAUUAUCCUAGACUAAGCUUGUUAGGUAGGUACUACAUCUAAUUUAUUUUUUAUCCUGAGUCCUAGCCUAGUGUUUCGCUGAACUUUAUCACUGCACUCCUUGAAUGAUUUCAUUUGAAAGAAGUUAAGUCUUAAUGUGUUUGAAUGUGUCAUUUGAAAUUCAUUUCAUUUGAAAAUGACUGUGCCCUAAUUUACUGGUAUGCUUUGACCAAUAUUUAUUCUGAAUUCAGUUAUGAAUGGGGAGCAACUUCAGAAGUUGAAAAGGGAAAUAUUUCUUCUUCAGUGGCUUUUUUUUUUUUAAGUGGGAGGCUAAGUUAAAUAAUCAAGACUCUGCUUUAGAGGUUUUAGAAGUGAAAAUAAUUUUCUUUGACAGCCACAUUAAUGUAUAAGGCAGUGGUGAUGUAAAAAACAAUAAACAAUCUUGGGCUUGUUGGCAGAGUGAUUGCAUAAGUUGAGGCAGAGAGGAAAAUGAUUAUAGCCAGGGCAAACUGUUCAAAAGAAUUAUAUCUUCCAUUUUUGUAGAGUUUAGGAAAUGUUCAAAAUAGAGAAAAUUAGUUAUGUGGUUUUUACAAGUCUUUAGAUUUUUAUUGAGUAAAUCAUACCCUCAUCUUUUCAUGUCAGGUUGGUUUCUGUCCUGGUCUUUGCAGGGUUUUCUACCUGAGUUUUUUCCCGUAAGACAGACCUGUCAUUUUCUGCAACUCGCUGAUCCCUUGAUCUGUAACAUCUUUCACUUUGGAUAACAUUAUAAAAUCCUGUGAGUGACUGAGAGAAUUUUGGGUUGCCUACAUUUUAUGUAUUGUGCUUUUGAGAUGAGGGUUAAACAAGGACCCUAAGGGGUAUGAGUGAGAUUGACUUCUGGGCUCCAGAGAUCAAUGGUUCUUGAAAGCAGGGGAGAAUUUUGAAAGUGGUAGGAGACAGGAAGAUGAUAAAAUAAUACCCUGAUGAGAGGAAUCUUGGAAAUGAGCCUAGGGGAGAGAAAACAGAGAUGUUUGAAAGAGAAUUCAAAAAUAAAAAUCACUACUAAUGCUUUAAGUUGGAAUUGUUACUUGGGGGUCUAAUCAGGUACCUGAGGCUGAUCCUGAUGCAUGUGGAUGAGAACAGAGUGUCUGAGGAGGUCACUGGCCAUGUUUUGAUUUUGUAUCACUCCAUGUCAUUCUCCUUUUUAGAUGAUUCAGAACUCUGGGUAGAAAUAAUCUCCAGAGCUCAGAAAAAAUAGUUAUUUCCAUCCUAACCUCACCUCUAGGGGCUCUCUCUGAGUUUGAUAGCUUCACUUCUGCACUGACAAUUUCAUAUAAAAUGAAAAAAUACAUUGAUGAUAAUUCUAAUGUGUGAUAAAGACUUCUCUCUGGAUCUGUUUACCUGUCAGAAAUAGGAUUAUGUCAUUCUAGUUCUUAGCUCAUAUCAGAAAUAUAGAUAGAUACAAAGAUUAAUGCUUCACUUUCACACAGUAACUGCUGGCAGAACUGGAGGUAGAACUCCACCAUCUGGUCCACAUGUAUGUAGCUCUCACUCACUUCUUUGAAAGAUUGCUUGGAAGAAACUAGAGACAGACCAAAGAAGCAAGAGGAAGAAAAAAUCUUCAUUUUUCUGAUCUAAAAAUAACAAUUCUACUUCUUUUAACAGGUAGUUAAAAGAGGACCAUCCUAAAUUAAGAAUAACAAUCCUACCUCUUUUAACACAGUGUCAUCAUUGCCAUAUAACAGUGGUCAGGCCUAAUCAGUUACAAACCCAUCUGCAUAGGUUUCUUAUUAAUCAGAUUCACAGUCUGGUAUUUGCAUGUCAAAGUUUCAGACUAUUCUGGAAUGUGUCUCAGUAGGUGAAAAAGAAUUCACUUUUAAAUAUUCUUAACAUCUUUAAAUGCAACUUACUAGCUAGCGUGACUUGGAAGAAAAUUAAGAAAAAAAUGAGUGAAAUCUUUUCACUUUGGAAAAGAAGGCAAUGAGAAUAGGUGAGAAUACCUUUUCUGACAAAAGUUGUACUGAAUCAAGUCAUGUGUGAUGUUAGCCAGCAAAGCUGGACAUUUGCCACAAUUGGCUGUUGUGUCUGGCUGAUGAAAAUGACAAUUAGAAAACAACAAAAUAACUGCGGAUAGGCAAGUGCCUAUUUCAACUGUGAAUCAUGUAUUGCUUUGUUAUGUAAUUAGUUGCUUAUGAGGGUGUCCUGGUUUUAGAGAAACAGCGCUGAGGUUCAGUCUCGCUCUACUACUUGGUAACUGCUUGACUUUGGGAAAGUCUUUAUCUCAUGUCUUCAUAUGAGUCCUCAUUUAUCCUCAUAUGUAAAGUGGGGGUAACAUAAUAAGGUUGAACCUUAUUAUAUAUGCUAUAUAAUAGCAUAUAAAAUUGCUAUUUCUGAAAGUCAGAAAUUAUCAUAUAUUGGAAAGCUUUAAAAAAAUCUUUAUUCUUUCAAUUUAAAAUAAUGAAUCAAGUGCCUGCUAUGUGUUAGAUAUUAUAUUACAUCUUAGGAAUUCAAAGUGGUACCAUUCACAUCCUCAAAAAUUCCCAACUCUUAGAAAUUAUCAUAUAUUGGCAAGUUCAUAUGAUUCAACCUAAUAGCUUCUACCUCACAGGAUUAUUGUGAGAAUUAAAUGAGAAAUGCAUGAAAUGUUUGGCACACAGGCUCAUAGUAAGUGCUCAAUAAAUGGUGGAUAUUAUUAUUCUUAAAUGAAUCAUGUAAUUAUUUUCUAUAUAAUAAUCAAACUCAAUCCCACUUAUUUGCAACUUCUGUAUCAAGUUUUAAGUCCAAUCUAUUUACUGGAAUACAAUGAUUUAGCACACAUUGAUUUUUCCCAUAAACAUUCAUAUGCAAUGAUUGCUCACUAAAAUGCAAAAAGGGUGAGGAUACAAUAUGUGUUUUUAUUGUUUUUGGAUUUGGCUUCUUUCACUUAGCAUGUUUUCGAAGUUCAUCUCUGUUAUAGCAUGUAUCAGUACUUCAUUCCUUUUUAUUGACGAAUAAGAUUCUAUUGUGUGGAUAUAUUACAUUUUGUUUAUCCAUUCAUCGGUUGAUGGACACUUGAGGUGUUUCGCUUUGGGGCUUUUAUGAGUAAUGCUGCUAUGAACAUUUGUGUAUAAAAGGACACAUCGUAUUAACCUAUUUAUAUGAAAUGUCCAGAGUAGGCAAAUCCGUAGAGACAGGAAGUAGAUUAGUGGUUGUUAGGGGCUGGGAGGAAGGGAAAAGGCGGUGACUACUAAUAGGUACAAGAUUUCCUUUUGGGGUGAUGAAGUGUUCUAAAACUAGAUAGUGGUGAUGGUUGUAGAGUUGUACUGAUGCUGAAAAAUCAAUAAGAUUAACCCAGAAAUUGGCUCAAUAAGAAACCAGGGACUCCCAAAGGGGGUUUUACAAUUCAGAAACAGGAAAAAAUUAGAAAGUGGUUUAUUUGCAAUUUACAUGGAUUCCUCUACUUUGUGAGGUUUAGU